This is a long non-coding RNA of Frankliniella occidentalis (western flower thrips), 1101 nucleotides long. RefSeq lists it as uncharacterized. The transcript has 4 exons. The record is from RefSeq and is a predicted model, not a curated record. Lineage: Eukaryota; Metazoa; Arthropoda; Insecta; Thysanoptera; Thripidae.
GUAGCGGGCGGGAGAGUAUGGGAAGCGGCGGGGGAAGGGAGAGAGCAUCAUGCAACGCUGUGAAUUUUGAAACGGAGUGAAUGAGAAUGAGAGGUUAGGCUGUGUUGUUUUGGUCGUGUUGUUCUUUUUCUUCUUCUUCUCACCACCUCGCCGAGCACCGCCUUCCGCGCUCAGUACAAGGCGCUCAACGACCGUGUUCUCCUUGACGGCACUCUAUCUGUGUGUUUUGCGCACGUUGAUGACAGUACUGGUCAACUCUCUUUGCUUUAGCGGGUUUGCCUCCUCACACGCGUGGCACCUCACGAUCAGAGGGAGUAGGCAAACCCGCGCGCACCGGCGUGUUAACCGAAACACACUUGGCACAUGUCAAACUCAACCUCAACUCGUCGUGUGGCUGCACUGCGGAGUACAGUGUUAUCUGCGGAGAAAACGGCCCGUCGUAAAUGGCACAGUGCAGGCGGAUGGGCGAGGAGCACAUCAUGACGGCGCUUAUCACUUUUCGUAUUUGAACUUUUCUGCUGAUAAGGCGAGUUUGCGGAUGUUGCUGAGACAGCCCGCGGAAGCCUCCUGCAGUACCUCGUCCGAGGAACCAAUCGUCUCCAGCAGAUACUGCAGAAAGGAAAGGCACUUCGAGGAGCCGAGGAGCUUACCGAUACGACGCCCGCGUGGUGCAUGGUGAUGCAGUUGUACGGGUCGGUGGAGAGCUGGUGCAAGGCCAGAGCCGUGGUGCGGUGCACGGCUUUGUUGUUGGACUCCAGUGAUGAGUGCGGCUCAGGAGAAAAACGUCCUGAGAAAAACGGAACGGCACGAGAAGAAAAAAGGGUACGGCAUCUGUCGAAAACAGCAUCUUCUUGAAGAAACACGAGCAAGAUGCCGGAGAAAUGUUGAGCCCAUAGGCCCAUAGGCAAAAACAUUCGUGAAUGGAGAUCAGGAAAGGAUUAACAAUACGGGAAGUUGGAAGGUAGAGGAAUGUGACUCCCGGGGUUCACUGCGCGAUUCUGGGACUAAUAAAAUAUCCACAUAGAUCCCCACGACCCACAAGAAAUCAUUGGAAUUCCCUCUGAACACCAACAUAAAUUUCAACCUCCGUAAGAAUUAAGA